GAUGAACGCUGGCGGCGUGCUUAACACAUGCAAGUCGAACGAAAAGACCCUGCUCUUGUGCGGUUGUCGAGUGGCGAGCGGGUGAGUGUCACGCGUGUAACACGCACCUAUCUGUGGGAUAACUUUACGAAACUGCGGCGCAUACCGCAUAGGAUAUACUGAUGCAUAGUGGGCGUUGGAAAGAUUCGGCGGUGGGGGAUGGUAUCGAUGCUUAUCAGCUUGUUUGGCGGGUAGUGGAUUACAAAGGCUAUGACGGAUAGGCGACCUGAGAGCGUGGCCAGCGACAUUGCGACUGAGAUACGGAGCAGACGGCUACGGGAGGCAGCAGUCGGGAAUAUUGCACAAUGGGGGGGAGCCAGAGGUAGCAACGUCGCGAGCGUGAUGACGUGCUACUGGUUGUGAACCGAUUUCGCCUGUGACGAAGCGUGAUUGACGGUAAUUGGUAAAGAAGCCCCGGCUAACUACGUG
Molecule: ribosomal RNA, 468 nt
Filed under: uncultured bacterium
Lineage: Bacteria
Description: partial 16S ribosomal RNA
Rfam family: Bacterial small subunit ribosomal RNA
Source: RNAcentral